This 402-nucleotide ribosomal RNA is filed under the name Escherichia coli. RNAcentral describes it as "bacterial SSU rRNA". It matches the Rfam family "Bacterial small subunit ribosomal RNA", at positions 1 to 397 of the family's 1533-position model. Lineage: Bacteria; Pseudomonadati; Pseudomonadota; Gammaproteobacteria; Enterobacterales; Enterobacteriaceae. The record is from RNAcentral.
UUAAAUUGAAGAGUUUGAUCAUGGCUCAGAUUGAACGCUGGCGGCAGGCCUAACACAUGCAAGUCGAACGGUAACAGGAAACAGCUUGCUGUUUCGCUGACGAGUGGCGGACGGGUGAGUAAUGUCUGGGAAACUGCCUGAUGGAGGGGGAUAACUACUGGAAACGGUAGCUAAUACCGCAUAAUGUCGCAAGACCAAAGAGGGGGACCUUCGGGCCUCUUGCCAUCGGAUGUGCCCAGGUGGGAUUAGCUUGUUGGUGGGGUAACGGCUCACCAAGGCGACGAUCCCUAGCUGGUCUGAGAGGAUGACCAGCCACACUGGAACUGAGACACGGUCCAGACUCCUACGGGAGGCAGCAGUGGGGAAUAUUGCACAAUGGGCGCAAGCCUGAUGCAGCCAUGC